This 76-nucleotide transfer RNA is filed under the name Cellulomonas denverensis. RNAcentral's name for it is "tRNA-Ser". Lineage: Bacteria; Bacillati; Actinomycetota; Actinomycetes; Micrococcales; Cellulomonadaceae. The record is from RNAcentral.
CGGCACCCUGGACCAGGGCGGCGGCCGGUGCCUCGAAGGCGUCGGCCAGUGCGCGCUCGGCCCGUGCGGUGGCGUC